RNAcentral lists this ribosomal RNA (670 nucleotides) under uncultured bacterium. RNAcentral's name for it is "bacterial SSU rRNA". It matches the Rfam family "Bacterial small subunit ribosomal RNA", at positions 60 to 727 of the family's 1533-position model. The record is from RNAcentral.
AGUCGAACGGUAACAGGGUAGCAAUACCGCUGACGAGUGGCGCACGGGUGCGUAACGCGUAUGUAACUUACCUCUAACAGGGGGAUAGCCCUUCGAAAGAAGGAUUAAUACCCCAUAGUAUUUGAUUGUCGCAUGACAUUCAGAUUAAAGCUCCGGCGGUUAGAGAUAGGCAUGCGUGACAUUAGCUAGUUGGUGAGGUAACGGCUCACCAAGGCGACGAUGUCUAGGGGUUCUGAGAGGAUGAUCCCCCACACUGGUACUGAGACACGGACCAGACUCCUACGGGAGGCAGCAGUAAGGAAUAUUGGUCAAUGGACGCAAGUCUGAACCAGCCAUGCCGCGUGCAGGAUGACAGCCCUAUGGGUCGUAAACUGCUUUUGUACGGGAAUAAACCCUUCUACGUGUAGAAGGCUGAAGGUACCGUAAGAAUAAGGAUCGGCUAACUCCGUGCCAGCAGCCGCGGUAAUACGGAGGAUGCAAGCGUUAUCCGGAAUUAUUGGGCGUAAAGCGUCCGUAGGUGGUUGUUCAAGUCUGCUGUUAAAGCGUGCGGCUUAACCGCAUACCAGCAGUGGAAACUGGACGACUAGAGUGCGGUAGGGGUCAGGGGAAUUCCCAGUGUAGCGGUGAAAUGCGUAGAUAUUGGGAAGAACACCGGUGGCGAAAGCGCCUG